RNAcentral lists this unclassified non-coding RNA (253 nucleotides) under uncultured Bradymonadales bacterium. Its description in RNAcentral is "contains 16S-23S intergenic spacer region". It matches the Rfam family "Bacterial small subunit ribosomal RNA", at positions 524 to 776 of the family's 1533-position model. The record is from RNAcentral. Lineage: Bacteria; Deltaproteobacteria; Bradymonadales.
UACGGAGGGUGCAAGCGUUGUUCGGAAUCAUUGGGCGUAAAGCGCGCGCAGGUGGCCUGUUAAGUCUGGUGUGAAAGCCCGGGGCUCAACCCCGGAAGUGCACUGGAAACUGAUGGGCUUGAGUUCGAGAAGGGUCAGUGGAAUUCCUGGUGUAGGGGUGAAAUCCGUAGAUAUCAGGAGGAACACCGGCGGCGAAAGCGACUGACUGGAUCGAUACUGACGCUGAGGCGCGAAAGCGUGGGGAGCAAACAGG